Molecule: ribosomal RNA, 423 nt
Filed under: uncultured fungus
Lineage: Eukaryota; Fungi
Description: eukaryotic LSU rRNA
Rfam family: Eukaryotic large subunit ribosomal RNA
Source: RNAcentral
UUGACCUCAAAUCGAGUAGGACUACCCGCUGAACUUAAGCAUAUCAAUAAGCGGAGGAAAAGAAACUAACAAGGAUUCCCCUAGUAACGGCGAGUGAAGAGGGAAGAGCUCAAAUUUUGAAUCUGGCGUCUUUGGCGUCCGAGUUGUAAUCUAGAGAAGUGUUUUCCGUAACGGACCGUGCACAAGUCUCCUGGAAUGGAGUGUCAUAGAGGGUGAGAAUCCCGUAUAUGGCACGGACUGCCGUUGCUCUGUGAUACACUCUCGACGAGUCGAGUUGUUUGGGAAUGCAGCUCCAAAUGGGUGGUAAAUGCCAUCUAAAGCUAAAUAUUGGCGAGAGACCGAUAGCGAACAAGUACCGUGAGGGAAAGAUGAAAAGCACUUUGGAAAGAGAGUGAAACAGUACGUGAAAUUGUUGAAAGGGAA